GACGAACGCUGGCGGCGUGCUUAACACAUGCAAGUCGAACGGAAAGGCCCUGCUUUUGUGGGGUGCUCGAGUGGCGAACGGGUGAGUAACACGUGAGUAACCUGCCCUUGACUUUGGGAUAACUUCAGGAAACUGGGGCUAAUACCGGAUAGGAGCUCCUGCUGCAUGGUGGGGGUUGGAAAGUUUCGGCGGUUGGGGAUGGACUCGCGGCUUAUCAGCUUGUUGGUAGGGUAGUGGCUUACCAAGGCUUUGACGGGUAGCCGGCCUGAGAGGGUGACCGGCCACAUUGGGACUGAGGUACGGCCCAGACUCCUACGGGAGGCAGCAGUGGGGAAUAUUGCACAAUGGGCGGAAGCCUGAUGCAGCAACGCCGCGUGCGGGAUGACGGCCUUCGGGUUGUAAACCGCUUUCGCCUGUGACGAAGCGUGAGUGACGGUAAUGGGUAAAGAAGCACCGGCUAACUACGUG
RNAcentral lists this ribosomal RNA (468 nucleotides) under uncultured bacterium. Its description in RNAcentral is "partial 16S ribosomal RNA". It matches the Rfam family "Bacterial small subunit ribosomal RNA", at positions 28 to 507 of the family's 1533-position model. The record is from RNAcentral.